AGUUCCGCUUCCGGCAGCGCGAGAUAAAUCACGAGAGGAAGCUUAAAUCUGUCGUUUGAAUUUAGGACCACCUCGGUUCACAAUGGUCCGUAGUGGAAAAAAUGGUGACCUUCAUCUUAAACAGAUUGCAUAUUACAAACGAACUGGUGAAUAUCAUUCAACUACACUGCCAAGUGAGAGAAGUGGCAUAAGAAGAGCAGCAAAAAAAUUUGUCUUCAAAGAAAAAAAGCUGUUUUAUGUUGGAAAAGACAGAAAACAAAAUCGUUUGGUAAUUGUUUCAGAAGAGGAAAAAAAGAAAGUCUUAAGAGAAUGCCAUGAAAAUGACAGUGGAGCUCAUCAUGGUAUAUCCAGGACCCUCACUCUGGUAGAAUCCAAUUAUUAUUGGACAUCUGUGACCAAUGAUGUCAAACAGUGGGUAUGGCUUAUGUAUUUAGAGUAUUAUGAAUAAUGUCUUUCUGAUAGAUACUUAAAAUUUAUUAUUUCUCCAGAUUUAUUCUGGGUAUCACCUCUCAUUAAGUAUUUUUGGCAAUCACUUAAAGGGAGUUGUAUUUCCCUUCACAGUUAUUU
RNAcentral lists this long non-coding RNA (567 nucleotides) under Homo sapiens (human). RNAcentral describes it as "non-protein coding lnc-NUDT12-10:1". The record is from RNAcentral. Lineage: Eukaryota; Metazoa; Chordata; Mammalia; Primates; Hominidae.